Molecule: ribosomal RNA, 498 nt
Filed under: uncultured bacterium
Lineage: Bacteria
Description: partial 16S ribosomal RNA
Rfam family: Bacterial small subunit ribosomal RNA
Source: RNAcentral
GAUGAACGCUAGCGGCAGGCCUAAUACAUGCAAGUCGGACGGGAUUUAGGAGCUUGCUCCUAAUGAGAGUGGCGCACGGGUGCGUAACACGCAUGUAACCUACCUUGUUCAGGGGGAUAGCCUCUCGAAAGAGAGAUUAAGACCGCAUAACGUUAUUGAAUGGCAUCGUUUAAUAACCAAAUAUUUAUAGUAACACGAUGGGCAUGCGGAACAUUAGCUAGAUGGUAGGGUAACGGCCUACCAAGGCUACGAUGUUUAGGGGAUCUGAGAAGAUGACCCCCCACACUGGUACUGAGACACGGACCAGACUCCUACGGGAGGCAGCAGUAAGGAAUAUUGGUCAAUGGGCGGAAGCCUGAACCAGCCAUGCCGCGUGCAGGAAGACGGCCCUACGGGUUGUAAACUGCUUUUAUACGGGAAUAAACCUUGAUACGUGUAUCAAGCUGAAUGUACUGUAAGAAUAAGGAUCGGCUAACUCCGUGCCAGCCGCCGCAGUAA